Molecule: ribosomal RNA, 3234 nt
Filed under: Pinus taeda (loblolly pine)
Lineage: Eukaryota; Viridiplantae; Streptophyta; Pinopsida; Pinales; Pinaceae
Description: eukaryotic LSU rRNA
Rfam family: Eukaryotic large subunit ribosomal RNA
Source: RNAcentral
GCGACCUCAACUCAUGCGAGAACACCUGCUGAGUUUAAGCAUAUAAUUAAGUGAAGGAAAAUAAAAUUACAAGGAUUCCCCUAGUAGCGGUGAGCGAAUCGGGAAGAGCCCAGCAUGAAAAUCGGGUGGCAGCAUCUCUUGAAUUGUAGUCUAUAGAAGCAUCCUCAGCGACGGACCUGGUCCAAGUCCUAUGGAUGGGGGCGCUUGAGAGGGCGAUAGCCCGUUGGGCCGUGACCCUGCUGCAUCACAAGUCAUUGUCGGAGAGUCAGGUUGUUUGGGAAUGAAACCCUAAUUGGGUGGUGAAUUCCGUCCAAGGCUAAAUACGAGCGAGAGACCGAUAGCGAACAAGUACUGCGAGGGAAAGAUGAAAAGGACUUUGAAAAGAGAGUUAAAGAGUGCUUGAAAUUAUCGGAAGGGAAGCGGAUGGAGGCUGUUGAUGCGUCUCAGUUAGAUGUAGAAUGGCUCAGGCUAGUUCGCCGCUCGACUUGAGUUGCAAACCAACACGGGCUACUGCAUCGUCACAAGCACGGGUGGAGUACUACCUGUCGAUUUUCCGUUGCAGUGGUUGAGAAACGAACCAAGGAGUCUAACAUGUGUGCGAGUCGGCGAGUUUGAAAACCUACGAGGCACAAGGAAGCUGACAGCGAGAUCCCCUCUCUGGGGGGUGCAUCAUCGACUGAUCUUGAGCUUAUGCGAAGGGUUCGAGUGCGAGCACACUUGUUGGGACCCAAAAGAUGGUGAACUAUGCCUAGGCAGGGCAAAGCUAGAGGAAACUCUGGUGGAGGCUCGUAGUGAUACUGACGUGCAAAUAAUUCGUUUGACUUGGGUAUAGUGGCGAAAGACUAAUCGUACCAUCUAGUAGCUGGUUUCCUCCAAAGUUUCCCUCAGGAUAGCUAGAGCUCAGUGCGAGUUUUAUCGGGUAAAGAAAAUGAUUAGAGGCAUCGGGCGCGUAACGCCCUUGACCUAUUCUCAAACAUUAAAUAGGUAAGAGGGUGCGACUGCUCCAUUGAGCCGUGCCAUGGAAUCGAGAGUUCACAGUGGGCCAUUUUUGGUAAGCAAAAUUGGAGAUGCAGGAUGAACCGAAAGUCGAGUUAUGGUGCCGAAUUACGCGCUAACCUAGAUCCCACAAAGGGUGUUGGUUGAUUAAGACAACAAGAUGUUGGUUAUGGAAGUCGAAAUCCACUAAGGAGUGUGUAACAACUCAUCUGCCGAAUCAACUAGCCCUGAAAAUGGAUGUUGCUGAAGCGCACAACCUAUACUUGACUGUUAGAGCAAUUGCCUGGAUUCGAUGAGUAGGAGGAUGCAGUGGUCAUUGAGAAACCUCAGGCAUGAGCUUGGGUGGAUCGACCCUCGGUGUAGAUCUUGGUGGUAGUAGCAAAUAUUCAAAUGAGAACUUUGAAGAUUGAAGUGGGGAAAGCUUCCAUGUGAACAACACUUGGACAUGGGUUAGUCGAUCCUAAGAGAUGGGGAAGCCUUGUAUCAAGGGUGCACUCUGCACGAGCAUCGAAAGGGAAUUGGGUUAAUAUUCCCUAACUGGGACAUGGCGGCGGGCGACAACGUUAGGAAAUCCGGAGACGUCGUCGGGGGCCCCAGGAAGAGUUAUCUUUUCUUUUUAACAACUUUCCCACCUUGGAAUCGGUUCACCUAGAGAUAGGGUCUAGCAGCUGGAAGAGCACCGCACGUCUUGCGGUGUUCGGUGCGCCCUCGUGGCGCUUGAAAAUCUAGAGGAUCAAGUACCGUUCAUGCCUGGUCAUACUCAUAACCGCAUUAGCUCUCCAAGGUGAACAACCUCUAGUCAAUAAAAUAAUGUAGGUAAGGGAAGUUGGCAAAAUAGAUCCGUAACUUCGGGAAAAGGAUUGGUGAGGGCUGGGCCUAUGGGUCUACACCCUUAAUUCUUGGGCUGUCAGCAGUCUGCCUGAGCUGCUCUCGCGGCAAGGGGGGGGCAGUUGCCUGUCGAUUGGGCUACGGACGUAGAAUGCUCCCUACUGGGGGCUUUUCCCUAGGCGGCGAACAAUCGACUUAGAACUGGUAUGGACAAGCGGAAUCUGAUUGUUUAAUUAAAACAAAGCAUUGCGAUGGUCCCUGCGGAUGCUGACGUAAUGUGAUUUCUGCCCAGUGCUCUGAAUGUCAAAAUGAAAAAAUUCAACCAAGUGCGGGUAAACGACGGGAGUAACUAUGACUCUCUUAAGGUAGCCAAAUGCCUCGUCAUCUAAAUAGUGACGCACAUGAAUGGAUUAAUGAGAUUCCCACUGUCCCUAUCUACCAUCUAGUGAAACUAUAUCUACUAUCUAACGAAACUACAGCCAAGGGAAUGGGCUUAGGAGAAUCAACGGGGAAAGAAGACCUUGUUGAGCUUGACUCUAGUUUGACUUUGUGAAAUGACUUGAGAGAUGUAGAAUAAGUGGGAGCCAUUUUCAGCGCAAGUGAAAUACCACUACUUUUAACAUUAUUUUACUUAUUCCGUGGGGCGAAGACGAGGCACUGCCCCUGCUUUUGGCCUUAAGGUACGUUUCGGCGGGUUGAUCUGGGUGGAAGACAUUGUUAGGUGGAGAGUUUGGCUGGGGUGGAACAUCUGUUAAAAGAUAACGCAGGUGUCUUAAGAUGAGCUCAACGAGAACAAAAAUCUUGUGUGGAACAAAAGGGUAAAAGCUCAUUUGAUUUUGAUUUUUAGUACAAAUACAAACCAUGAAAGCAUGGCUUAUCGAUCCUUUAGAUUUUCAGAAUUUGAAGCUAGAGGUGUCAGAAAAGUUACCAUAGGGAUAACUGGCUUGUGGCAGCCAAGCAUUCAUAGCGACGUUGCUUUUUGAUCCUUUGAUGUCGGCUCUUUCUAUCAUUGUGAAGCAAAAUUCACCAAGUGUUGGAUUGUUCACCCACCAAUAGGGAACGUGAGCUGGGUUUAUACCGUCGUGAGAUAGGUUAGUUUUACCCUACUGAUGAACCGCAUCGCAAUAGUAAUUCAACUUAGUACGAGAGGAACAGUUGAUUCACACAAUUGGUCAUCGUGCUUGGUUGAAAAGCCAGUGGCGCGAAGCUACCGUGUGUCGGAUUAUGACCGAACACCUCUAAGUCAAAAUCCACGCUAGAAGUGCUGCAUGUCACUCUUCCACUAUAUCUCAACCCAUAGUAGGGGCAUUGCUUUGUCGCCCCAAGAACCCGUGUCAUUUGCAAACCGCGAUCGUGAAGCAUCUCAGUUGGGGAAGCUUUGAAGUUCAAUUCCAAAUUGUCAUUGAGAAG